GUGGGGAAUAUUGGGCAAUGGGCGCAAGCCUGACCCAGCAACGCCGCGUGAAGGAAGAAGGCUUUCGGGUUGUAAACUUCUUUUACCAGGGACGAAAAAAAUGACGGUACCUGGAGAAUAAGCCACGGCUAACUACGUGCCAGCAGCCGCGGUAAUACGUAGGUGGCAAGCGUUGUCCGGAUUUACUGGGUGUAAAGGGCGCGUAGGCGGGAGAGCAAGUCAGGAGUGAAAUCUAUGGGCUUAACCCAUAAAUUGCUUUUGAAACUGUUUUUCUUGAGUGAUGGAGAGGCAAGCGGAAUUCCUAGUGUAGCGGUGAAAUGCGUAGAUAUUAGGAGGAACACCAGUGGCGAAGGCGGCUUGCUGGACAUUAACUGACGCUGAUGCGCGAAAGCGUGGGGAGCAAACAGGAUUAGAUACCCCAGUAGUCC
RNAcentral lists this ribosomal RNA (428 nucleotides) under uncultured bacterium. RNAcentral's name for it is "partial 16S ribosomal RNA". It matches the Rfam family "Bacterial small subunit ribosomal RNA", at positions 354 to 796 of the family's 1533-position model. The record is from RNAcentral.